GCCGCGGUAAUUCCAGCUCCAAUAGCGUAUAUUAACGUUGUUGCAGUUAAAAAGCUCGUAGUUGAAGUGUGGGUGGUGCUGUCUGAGUAACUUCGGUUAGUCAGAUGAUCACUACCCCCUUCCAGUAUCCAGUAGUGGGUAUUCACUUACUUACUAUUGUGUGUUGGUCCUUUACUGUGAGAAAAUUAGAGUGUUCAAAGCAGGCGUUUGCUUGAAUAGAUUAGCAUGGAAUAAUAAUUGAAGGCUUUCGUGUUCGAUUUGAUUGGUUUGUUCAUGGAAGCAAGGUUAAAAGGAACAGUUGGGGGUAUUCAUAUUCACUAGUUAGAGGUGAAAUUCUCGGAUUUAUGGAAGAUGAACAAGUGCGAAAGCAUUUACCAAGGAUGUUUUCAUUAAUCAAGAACGAAAG
Molecule: ribosomal RNA, 406 nt
Filed under: Blastocystis sp.
Lineage: Eukaryota; Bigyra; Opalinata; Blastocystidae
Description: SSU rRNA
Rfam family: Eukaryotic small subunit ribosomal RNA
Source: RNAcentral